This 590-nucleotide ribosomal RNA is filed under the name uncultured haloarchaeon. Its description in RNAcentral is "bacterial SSU rRNA". It matches the Rfam family "Archaeal small subunit ribosomal RNA", at positions 332 to 921 of the family's 1478-position model. Lineage: Archaea; Methanobacteriati; Methanobacteriota; Halobacteria; Halobacteriales; Halobacteriaceae. The record is from RNAcentral.
GCAGCAGGCGCGAAACCUUUACACUGCACGUCAGUGCGAUAAGGGGAUCCCAAGUGCGCAGGCAUAGAGCCUGCGCUUUUCUGAACCGUAGGGAGGUUCAGGAACAAGUGCUGGGCAAGACCGGUGCCAGCCGCCGCGGUAAUACCGGCAGCACGAGUGAUGGCCGAUAUUAUUGGGCCUAAAGCGUCCGUAGCUGGCCUGUCAAGUCCGUCGGGAAAUCUACCAGCCCAACUGGUAGGCGUCCGGCAGAAACUGGCAGGCUUGGGACCGGAAGGCUCGAGGGGUACGUCCGGGGUAGGAGUGAAAUCCCGUAAUCCUGGACGGACCGCCGAUGGCGAAAGCACCUCGAGAAGACGGAUCCGACAGUGAGGGACGAAAGCUAGGGUCUCGAACCGGAUUAGAUACCCGGGUAGUCCUAGCCGUAAACGAUGCCUGUUAGGUGUGGCUCCCACUACGAGUGGGUGCUGUGCCGUAGGGAAGCCGCUAAACAGGCCGCCUGGGAAGUACGUCCGCAAGGAUGAAACUUAAAGGAAUUGGCGGGGGAGCACUACAACCGGAGGAGCCUGCGGUUUAAUUGGAGUCAACGCCGG